This 460-nucleotide ribosomal RNA is filed under the name uncultured bacterium. RNAcentral describes it as "partial 16S ribosomal RNA". It matches the Rfam family "Bacterial small subunit ribosomal RNA", at positions 338 to 795 of the family's 1533-position model. The record is from RNAcentral.
CCUACGGGUGGCAGCAGUGAGGAAUAUUGGUCAAUGGGCUUACGCCUGAACCAGCCAAGUCGCGUGAGGGAAGACUGCCCUAUGGGUUGUAAACCUCUUUUGUCAGGGAGCAACGCCGGCUACGUGUAGCCGUACUGAGAUUACCUAAAGAAAAAGAAUCGGCAAACCCCGUGCAAGCAGCCGCGGUAAUACGAAGGAUGCGAGUGUUUUCCGGAUUUAUUGGGUUUAAGGGGUGCGUAGGCGGAAUGCAAAGUCAGCGGUAAAAUCUCGGGGCUCAACCUCGCUCCGCCGUUGAAACUGGCGUUCUUGAGUGGGCGAGAAGUAUGCGGAAUGCGUGGUGUAGCGGUGAAAUGCAUAGAUAUCACGCAGAACUCCGAUUGCGAAGGCAGCAUACCGGCGCCCAACUGACGCUGAAGCACGAAAGCGUGGGUAUCGAACAGGAUUAGAUACCCGUGUAGUC